CUCAACUGGCUGAACCUGAUGAUGUGACACCAAGCUGUUCUGAGAGUGCAUACAGUAAGGAAAAGAAGAGGGUGCUUCAUGUCUGGGAUGCAGUCAAGGAUGACAUGCUUAAGGUGUCGUUUAAAUGUUCAGCACCAAUCACAACCCAGUAUGUUGUCUGCCGAGAACAUGCUGAUUAUAGGUGCAUUGAGUGCAGCUCCACUGCAGUGUUUUGUGAGGUUUGCCUGAAGAGGACUCACAGAAAUUCCCUGCAUCUUCCUGAAAAGUGGAAUAAUGUUUACUAUGAGCCAUCCUCCCUGGGGUUAUUCUUAUAUUUACCUGAAGGCCAUGGCACCCAUGCUGUGUACACAUAGGACAUGAAGGUCAUUGUCAGCACAGGACGGCUCUGCACCGUUACAGUCAACAUGUGUGCGUGUGAACCAGAAACCUGGGCUCUGGCCAGCAACAAUCGACAAGCCCCAGACAGCCUUCUCCAUCCCUCUGCUAGAGCU
Molecule: long non-coding RNA, 491 nt
Organism: Carassius carassius (crucian carp)
Lineage: Eukaryota; Metazoa; Chordata; Actinopteri; Cypriniformes; Cyprinidae
Exons: 3
Source: RefSeq, a predicted model, not a curated record